Bombyx mori (domestic silkworm) is the source of this 102-nucleotide non-coding RNA. NCBI's taxonomy places the organism in Eukaryota, Metazoa, Arthropoda, Insecta, Lepidoptera, Bombycidae. The record is from RefSeq and is marked provisional.
AAUCUUUUGACAUAUAUCGCGUGUUCACGGUAGGUAUUGGCUCGUGGCACUAUGUAGUACCACAGACAGUAUCUAACCUGAACACAGAUAUUUCAUCGUGAA